This 395-nucleotide ribosomal RNA is filed under the name uncultured bacterium. RNAcentral's name for it is "bacterial SSU rRNA". It matches the Rfam family "Bacterial small subunit ribosomal RNA", at positions 142 to 518 of the family's 1533-position model. The record is from RNAcentral.
AGUAACAUCCGGAAACGGGUGCUAAUACCGCAUAGUUUUCUUUGGUCGCAUGAUCGGGAAAGGAAAGACGGCCUUUGUGCUGUCGCUUAUGGAUGGACCCGCGGCGUAUUAGUUAGUUGGUGAGGUAACGGCUCACCAAGACGAUGAUACGUAGCCGACCUGAGAGGGUGAUCGGCCACAUUGGGACUGAGACACGGCCCAAACUCCUACGGGAGGCAGCAGUAGGGAAUCUUCCGCAAUGGACGAAAGUCUGACGGAGCAACGCCGCGUGAGUGAAGAAAAGGUUUUCGGAUCGUAAAACUCUGUUGUCAGAGAAGAACAAGUUGGAGAGUAACUGCUCCAGCCUUGACGGUAUCUGACCAGAAAGCCACGGCUAACUACGUGCCAGCAGCCGC